RNAcentral lists this ribosomal RNA (207 nucleotides) under uncultured bacterium. RNAcentral describes it as "partial 16S ribosomal RNA". It matches the Rfam family "Bacterial small subunit ribosomal RNA", at positions 568 to 774 of the family's 1533-position model. The record is from RNAcentral.
CGCGCAGGUGGCAUGGCAAGUGGCAGGCGAAAGCCCUCGGCUCAACCGAGGAACUACCUGUCAGACUGCUGUGCUUGAGGCUGGGAGGGGAGAGCGGAAUUCCUGGUGUAGCGGUGAAAUGCGUAGAUACCAGGAGGAACACCGGUGGCGAAGGCGGCUCUCUGGACCAGCUCUGACGCUCAUGCGCGAAAGCGUGGGGAGCAAACA